RNAcentral lists this ribosomal RNA (425 nucleotides) under uncultured bacterium. RNAcentral's name for it is "bacterial SSU rRNA". It matches the Rfam family "Bacterial small subunit ribosomal RNA", at positions 358 to 773 of the family's 1533-position model. The record is from RNAcentral.
AGAAUCUUUCGCAAUGGGGGAAACCCUGACGAUGCGACGCCGCGUGGAGGAUGAAGGUCUUCGGAUUGUAAACUUCUGUUCUAUGAGAGGAAAGAUGACGCGUUGAACAACCGCGUUGUUUGACAGUACCAUAGGAGAAAGCCCCGGCAAACUACGUGCCAGCAGCCGCGGUAAUACGUAGGGGGCGAGCGUUGUUCGGAUUCACUGGGCGUAAAGGGUGCGUAGGUGGUCUGAGUAAGUCGAAUGUGAAAUACCAUGGCUCAACCAUGGAAGUGCAUUCGGUACUGCUUGACUAGAGUUCGGGAAAGGAGAGCGGAAUUCUCGGUGUAGCGGUGAAAUGCGUAGAUAUCGAGAAGAACACCAGUGGCGAAGGCGGCUCUCUGGCCCGAAACUGACACUGAGGCACGAAAGCGUGGGGAGCAAAC